Molecule: ribosomal RNA, 431 nt
Filed under: uncultured bacterium Riz1035
Lineage: Bacteria
Description: partial 16S ribosomal RNA
Rfam family: Bacterial small subunit ribosomal RNA
Source: RNAcentral
AGAGUUUGAUCAUGGCUCAGAAUCAACGCUGGCGGCGCGCCUAACGCAUGCAAGUCGCANGAGAAAGCGGGAGCAAUCCCGCAAGUACAGUGGCGNACGGGUGAGUAACACGUGGAUCAUNUGCCCNGGAGUGGGGAAUAANGNUGGGAAACCGGCGUUAAUACCGCAUAUUCCCGAGAGGGGAAAGCAGCAAUGCGCUCGAGGAGGAGUCCGCGCGCCGAUUAGUUAGUNGGCAGGGUAAAAGCCUACCAAGGCUAUGAUCNGUAGCCGGCCUGAGNGGGCACACGGCCACACUGGCACUGAAACACGGGCCAGACUCCUACGGGAGGCAGCAGUGGGGAAUCUUGCACAAUGGGGGAAACCCUGAUGCAGCGACGCCGCGUGAGCGAUGAAGCCCUUCGGGGUUUAAAUUUUGGGCCCCNGGCCCNAUU